This 253-nucleotide ribosomal RNA is filed under the name uncultured bacterium. RNAcentral describes it as "partial 16S ribosomal RNA". It matches the Rfam family "Bacterial small subunit ribosomal RNA", at positions 524 to 776 of the family's 1533-position model. The record is from RNAcentral.
UACGUAGGGUGCAAGCGUUAAUCGGAAUUACUGGGCGUAAAGCGUGCGCAGGCGGUAUUGUAAGUCUGACGUGAAAUCCCCGGGCUCAACCUGGGAAUUGCGUUGGAGACUGCAAGGCUAGAAUCUGGCAGAGGGGGGUAGAAUUCCACGUGUAGCAGUGAAAUGCGUAGAGAUGUGGAGGAACACCGAUGGCGAAGGCAGCCCCCUGGGUCAAGAUUGACGCUCAUGCACGAAAGCGUGGGGAGCAAACAGG